UUUUUUUCGUGUACCUGUGCGUUUGUUCCCGCCGUUUCUAGGUGUGGCCCCUAGUGACCAUAGUUUCCGGUGUGGGUAUGUUGGCGCUAGCUGCGAUGGGUUGGACGGCCUACAGUAAGGUUGAUGUAGUUUUUGACAAAAGUCACGAACCGGCGUUGAACGAGGUGCCUUUGGACAGACCUACGCAAAAGCUGCUUACAAUAAACCAGACGUACAAAGACAUCCCGGAGGUUCACGUCAUGGAAGAAAUUGAGAAGGACGAGCACUGAAAAGUCCCUGCGAGGUUGCACAUAAUCGCCAGGUGGUGCCCGUGAGUGGUGAAGCUGCGUCAUGCUUUGUGAUCAGUACGCUAAAGCGGCCAUGGGUGUUUUCAAAUAUCUAUAGUGAUUGUAACACUUAUCGCCCAAGAUUUGGAAAGACGCUGAGGAUGUAAAACAACAUUAAAACAAAAAAUAAGAAUAUAUGAACAUUUUGAUAGACACACGUGUAUUAUGAUGAUAUAUAGAAGGAUGAAUAUUGCAUUAUCUACUGAACGUUGACUUCAUAGUCAACUACAAAUGUAAAACAUGUGACUGAAUGUUUAUGGCGUUUUUUUUUUAAUUGCCAGUGUCUUUCCAAUCUAAGAGUGAUUCUAGUGUUCCAUCAUUGAGUAUUUCACUCAGAGAGCAACUACAUGAUGCACAGCAGACCUAGAAUAUUUUAUCAGAGUUAGAAGGACCAGAACUUAGAGGGACAUUCUACUCCAGAAGGCAGUGUUACUAGGCGAUAGAUAAUGAUAUUUGGAAUUAAUAAAUGUAUUCUAUUUCACAUAUAAAUAUAGGAUAUAAAGUUAUUACUACUCAUAAAGGUAUAUCCAGUCUUCUACAAAACUCCUCAAGUACUUUCUGAUGAAAUUAAUCUAUCUCACAAUUCUCAGUCUAUGGCUUGACAACGCCUGACUCAAUUUAGGUUACAAAACUAAAAAAAAUAUCAUGUUAUGUUGUCUUCGAUAUCUUACGCGCAAUAUGCCCUCUUUGUAUGAUUAUCACUCCUUAUAUAUUGCGAGAACAUAUACGAUAAAGGAAGUGCACUGGGUUUAGCGAGUGAUCAUUUAAAAAUGAUCGCGUAAUUCACCACAAGUGGAAAUCCAAGAAAGAGCUGCUGAAAUUUAUGCAUUCACUAAUACAUCAUAUAUCAUUAAAAAAAAUAACAGCCCCUUCUGGAGUGGAAUGCCUCUUUAACCCAGAGGUCCAAGUCAUCUAUCUGCCAAUGAAGAGUUUUAUUUGUAAGAUUCUGUCCAAGUUGAGCUAUUUUACAAGGCCGUAGACCAUAUUUGUUUCCAAACUGAAGUUGAAGAGAAGCAUAUUAUUAAGCAGUUGGACCAAGAAAGGGACUAAAAGGAGUAAAAAUUAAGUGCUGUUAGUGAUUUGAGGGUUUAUAAAAGGAAUAAAGGGAUAGGACUGUUUAAUGGACAAACGAGUAUUACGUCUACAAGUGCGAGCGUCACCACCCCCAGAACAUGCCAGUAUAGUCUUCUUAAAGAUUGUGGGCAUCAAUGGGAAGAAGAAGAAGAAGACAUACGGAAGAAACAGGGAUGCCAAUCUGGACACAAAUCCAGCUCAAGGUAUAAGAUUAUAAACUAUAUAGCUAUAUCUGGGGAGAAGCAAACCAUCAGUAUUGGUAGAAGGAAUGGCACAUUUUUGGUGAGUUAAAAGUGAGAUUUUUUUGGCAUGUACUGAUAACAAGAGAACUGUGUGGAUAUCGUAUAGCGUAUCUAGUUUGGACACAUUUAUCCAUACAUUCAUAUGAGUCGUGACUUAAGAGUAAAUGUUUAUUUUCGUAUCAUGGAAGAUA
Long non-coding RNA from Branchiostoma floridae (Florida lancelet), 1833 nucleotides. RefSeq lists it as uncharacterized. NCBI's taxonomy places the organism in Eukaryota, Metazoa, Chordata, Leptocardii, Amphioxiformes, Branchiostomatidae. The transcript is spliced from 3 exons. The record is from RefSeq and is a predicted model, not a curated record.